CAUCAACGGUCGGUCGCUGACGCGUAGGCUUGUCUUGCGUCAUUGGUUUGAUCAAACCAAUGACGCAAGACAAGCCUACGCGUCAGCGACCGACCGUUGAUCAUGA
Molecule: non-coding RNA, 106 nt
Organism: Paramuricea clavata
Lineage: Eukaryota; Metazoa; Cnidaria; Anthozoa; Malacalcyonacea; Plexauridae
Source: the annotation of a GenBank genome assembly